UACAGGGGGUGCAAACGUUGCUCGGAAUUAUUGGGCGUAAAGCGCGCGUAGGCGGCUACCUAAGUCGGAUGUGAAAGCCCCUGGCUUAACUGGGGAAGUGCACCCGAAACUGAGUAGCUAGAGUGCGAAAGAGGGUCGCGGAAUUCCCGGUGUAGAGGUGAAAUUCGUAGAUAUCGGGAGGAACACCGGUGGCGAAGGCGGCAUCCUGGACCAACACUGACGCUGAGGAGCGAAAGCUAGGGGAGCAAACGGG
RNAcentral lists this ribosomal RNA (253 nucleotides) under uncultured bacterium. RNAcentral describes it as "partial 16S ribosomal RNA". It matches the Rfam family "Bacterial small subunit ribosomal RNA", at positions 524 to 776 of the family's 1533-position model. The record is from RNAcentral.